RNAcentral lists this transfer RNA (70 nucleotides) under Marmota monax (woodchuck). RNAcentral's name for it is "tRNA.Cys". Lineage: Eukaryota; Metazoa; Chordata; Mammalia; Rodentia; Sciuridae. The record is from RNAcentral.
UGGGUUGUGGCUCAGGGGUAGAGCUCACCUAGCAUGUGUGAGGCACUGGGUUCGAUCCUCAGCACAUAAA